This 326-nucleotide ribosomal RNA is filed under the name uncultured Lachnospiraceae bacterium. RNAcentral's name for it is "partial 16S ribosomal RNA". The record is from RNAcentral. Lineage: Bacteria; Bacillati; Bacillota; Clostridia; Lachnospirales; Lachnospiraceae.
GGAGUUUGGGCCGUGUCUCAGUCCCAAUGUGGCCGUUCAACCUCUCAGUCCGGCUAUAGAUCGUAGCUUUGGUAGGCCGUUACCCCACCAACUGGCUAAUCUAACGCGGGUCCAUCCUUUAGCGAAAUUCUUUCCUCACUGCUUCAUGCGAAGCUGUAAGCAUAUGGGAUAUUAUCAGAAAUUUCUCUCUGUUAUCUCCCUCUAAAGGGCAGGUUACCCACGCGUUACUCACCCGUCCGCCACUAGAAUUUCCAAUCAUCCAGCGAACCUUCAGAUUAGAGUUCCCGUUCGACUUGCAUGUGUUAGGCACGCCGCCAGCGUUCAUC